CAGUCGAGCGGACAGAUGGGAGCUUGCUCCCUGAUGUUAGCGGCGGACGGGUGAGUAACACGUGGGUAACCUGCCUGUAAGACUGGGAUAACUCCGGGAAACCGGGGCUAAUACCGGAUGGUUGUCUGAACCGCAUGGUUCAGACAUAAAAGGUGGCUUCGGCUACCACUUACAGAUGGACCCGCGGCGCAUUAGCUAGUUGGUGAGGUAACGGCUCACCAAGGCGACGAUGCGUAGCCGACCUGAGAGGGUGAUCGGCCACACUGGGACUGAGACACGGCCCAGACUCCUACGGGAGGCAGCAGUAGGGAAUCUUCCGCAAUGGACGAAAGUCUGACGGAGCAACGCCGCGUGAGUGAUGAAGGUUUUCGGAUCGUAAAGCUCUGUUGUUAGGGAAGAACAAGUGCCGUUCAAAUAGGGCGGCACCUUGACGGUACCUAACCAGAAAGCCACGGCUAACUACGUGCCAGCAGCCGCGGUAAUACGUAGGUGGCAAGCGUUGUCCGGAAUUAUUGGGCGUAAAGGGCUCGCAGGCGGUUUCUUAAGUCUGAUGUGAAAGCCCCCGGCUCAACCGGGGAGGGUCAUUGGAAACUGGGGAACUUGAGUGCAGAAGAGGAGAGUGGAAUUCCACGUGUAGCGGUGAAAUGCGUAGAGAUGUGGAGGAACACCAGUGGCGAAGGCGACUCUCUGGUCUGUAACUGACGCUGAGGAGCGAAAGCGUGGGGAGCGAACAGGAUUAGAUACCCUGGUAGUCCACGCCGUAAACGAUGAGUGCUAAGUGUUAGGGGGUUUCCGCCCCU
Molecule: ribosomal RNA, 800 nt
Filed under: Bacillus amyloliquefaciens
Lineage: Bacteria; Bacillati; Bacillota; Bacilli; Caryophanales; Bacillaceae
Also listed under: 1 other name
Description: bacterial SSU rRNA
Rfam family: Bacterial small subunit ribosomal RNA
Source: RNAcentral